Molecule: long non-coding RNA, 493 nt
Filed under: Gallus gallus (chicken)
Lineage: Eukaryota; Metazoa; Chordata; Aves; Galliformes; Phasianidae
Description: long non-coding RNA NONGGAT003677
Source: RNAcentral
CUAAAAUUUGCCUCAGCAGUUGGCAGGAGUCAGAUGUUGCACAGCCAUGCUUCAUAUCCUGAUGCUCCAGAAUCCUGGACUUGCUUUCCACGCACCUCCCUGCUGAGGAUGUUAGCAACCAAAUGGAGCCAGCAGAAAGCUGAGUGAGCUAACAGUCUGAUCUGACGCAGGAGUCAAAUAUUGGAGAAGACAAACAUAAAGCGUAGGGCCACAGAGCCAAAAAAGACAGACAAAAAUACUUCUAUUGAAAGAAAGGAAAGGGCACUUGAUGUACAGGAAGUUUCCCAUAGCUGAGUGCUUGCUUAAAAGGAUUCAUCCCCUUUUCUGGCACAGGAUCAUACUUGCUAUUCAAGUAUCUUCCACAGCUGAGGGAAAAAUAAACAACAAACAGCCUUUCUCUUGACCUCUCUAUCCAGAGUAAUCACGUUCAUCUACUUAGAGCAACAGUCAGGAUUAAAACAAAUGUACCAGGCUUUACUCUAGUGAGCCCCAC